This 246-nucleotide ribosomal RNA is filed under the name uncultured bacterium. RNAcentral's name for it is "partial 16S ribosomal RNA". It matches the Rfam family "Bacterial small subunit ribosomal RNA", at positions 527 to 772 of the family's 1533-position model. The record is from RNAcentral.
AUAGGGAGCAAGCGUUAUCCGGAUUUAUUGGGUGUAAAGUGUGCGUAGACGGGAAUUUAAGUUGGUUGUGAAAUCCCUCGGCUCAACUGAGGAACUGCAACCAAAACUGGAUUUCUUGAGUGCUGGAGAGGAAAGUGGAAUUCCUAGUGUAGUGGUGAAAUGCGUAGAUAUUAGGAGGAACACCAGUGGCGAAGGCGACUUUCUGGACAGUAACUGACGUUGAGGCACGAAAGUGUGGGGAGCAAA